GCUGGGCAUGGUGGCGCGUGCCUGUAAUCCCAGCUACUCAGGAGGCUGAGGCGGGAGAAUUGCUUGAACCCAGGAGGCGGAGGCUGUGGUGAGCCAAGAUCGCGCCAUUGCACUCCAGCCUGGGUGACAGAGUGAGACUCUGUCUCAA
Molecule: unclassified non-coding RNA, 148 nt
Organism: Callithrix jacchus (white-tufted-ear marmoset)
Lineage: Eukaryota; Metazoa; Chordata; Mammalia; Primates; Cebidae
Rfam family: Metazoan signal recognition particle RNA
About the family: The signal recognition particle (SRP) is a universally conserved ribonucleoprotein. It is involved in the co-translational targeting of proteins to membranes.
Source: Ensembl